This 217-nucleotide long non-coding RNA is filed under the name Physcomitrium patens. RNAcentral describes it as "long non-coding RNA (PPAT_LNC003539)". The record is from RNAcentral. Lineage: Eukaryota; Viridiplantae; Streptophyta; Bryopsida; Funariales; Funariaceae.
CUCCUCUUGGCUAUAAAUUCUCAAUUUAUGUGGGAGGGCUAAAAUCAGGCACUUCAAAACAAAACCAAAGUUGCACAAAUUGUAUGAAUGAAUCCAACAGGGAGAAACCAAAAAUCCACUGCACAGGUGGAUGACAAACAUGCAUCUCUUGGGUCUGUCCAUCCAGAAGCAGACGCACACUUGCACGCUUGCUCGGUUCACAUUGCCGCAUGUCCCU